RNAcentral lists this small RNA (382 nucleotides) under Arabidopsis thaliana (thale cress). RNAcentral describes it as "ATSL202520". Lineage: Eukaryota; Viridiplantae; Streptophyta; Magnoliopsida; Brassicales; Brassicaceae. The record is from RNAcentral.
AAAUUAUUUACAAGGAUAAUCAUGGGACUUCCUCCCAAGUGAGCUUGUUUUAAGUCUCUAGCUUGACUCCUCACACUUAUCAAGAAGAAAAUGAACUGUAGAGAGGGUCUGCAUAAUCCUCUCUGAUACCAUCAUCAUAAUCAGCGUCCUCCCUGGAGAGGUCUCCAACAGAAUACUCAAUUCCCCUUUCUUCAAAAUAUGCUUCUUUCUCUUCUGGAGGGUAAUCUAUCUCUUCAGACCAUCUUGAAGUGAACUUCUUUCUCGGGAUAGUGUCGAUCCCGCCUUUAGGUUGAGCUUCCUUCAGCAACUGAUUCAGCUUACUUCUAAGCUCCUCAACAGUGUGGGCUAGCUUCUCUAUAGUUUCAUCUUGCUUGUAAUACCU